Molecule: long non-coding RNA, 1286 nt
Organism: Alnus glutinosa
Lineage: Eukaryota; Viridiplantae; Streptophyta; Magnoliopsida; Fagales; Betulaceae
Exons: 2
Source: RefSeq, a predicted model, not a curated record
AAAAAAAUUACAAUUUAAAAAUGUAGAAAAAUGUGUUUUUAAAUUGUAGGUAAGUUGAUGCAUUUUUAUAUGCUAUUUUAAAAAAUAGCGUUUUCAAAUUGUAAAUUUUAAAAUUUCUAUAUUUAAUUUGCACGUUUUAAAAUUGCAACUCCAAAUAGACUCUUAGUCCGAUGAGGGAAUAUUGGACAAUUGGUGUAACCAAGAGUAAUUCCUAGGAAAUGGGCCUCGGCCAUCCAAAAUUAGUCCUAAUAGGCCCAUUUCUGAUGCAUAAUUGUAUUUUCACAUAAAUAAUAAGGGUAAGAUAGACAUUUUACUUAUUUUUGGUUGGAUUAGGUAGUUUAGGGGUGAGGGUAAAUUACAAAUUUUUUUUAAAUUUUAGAAAACAUUGCAAUUCUGAUAUAAAUUUGAAAGAAUUAAAUAAGUGUAGUUCUUAGAAAAAGUUACAAAUAUAAGUCGCAGUAGACCUACCUUACUGUCGAAGAUCCGGCUAACCUCCUUGCUAAGAAUUUAAAGUCUGCUAGAAUUUUGGAAAAGCACAAUUUUGAACACUAAUGAUGUCCUGUCCCAUCUUUGGUGAAAACGAAUUAAUUGAGAAAAUUUCCAAAUGACAAUAAAGAAACCUUUUUUUAUUGUUCAUUAUCUUGUGUAAUCCGUCUUUCUUGAAGCGCAUCAGAUUUUAAGCCGGACUGAGGAUGGCAUCCUAGCUUGGGUGCAUCUCAGAUGACAACUGUAACUAAUUAAGGAUAAUUCCUUUGGUCUUUUCAAGGAUUUCUAUUAUAAAUAGGAGGAGCGCUCUAUGGAGACGAACAGCCAUUAGAGGAGCUUCAAGUAGCAGAGAAGGGAAAGUCAAAGAGAGAAGCAAAUAGAAAACAUGGCUGAAAGUCGAAUUCUUAACUUGGCUUUUAUGAUCUCUCUUCUCCUCUCGAUCAUCUUCUUCUGCAUGGCCGAAAGUCGAAUUCUUGGACCGCCAUCCCUGCAGCAAAAUUCCAAUUUUGUCUACGGAGCUCACAAUUUCAAAUUGAGUGCCUCGGAGUCAACCUCAACGGUAACGCACUCUCGGUUGGUCAAUGGCUUUGGGUACUGACGGGGCACUAAAUCAAAUGGCAGACCUACAUAUUCUUCAAAGCAUUUGGAAAUAAAUCCGUGAAUAUGGACAGAACUAAUUAUUUUUCCCUGUAUUUUUAUUUUUAUUGUUUGAAUAUUUUCUAUUGGAUCAUGUGAUAUUGGUCGAUUGCCAUUUGCCAUUGCUCUUGGUGUGAAAUUAUGAAAUUAAUAAAAUUUUCUUC